CAGUCGAACGAAACUUCUUUAUCACCGAGUGCUUGCACUCACCGAUAAAGAGUUGAGUGGCGAACGGGUGAGUAACACGUGGGCAACCUGCCCAAAAGAGGGGGAUAACACUUGGAAACAGGUGCUAAUACCGCAUAACCAUAGUUACCGCAUGGUAACUAUGUAAAAGGUGGCUAUGCUACCGCUUUUGGAUGGGCCCGCGGCGCAUUAGCUAGUUGGUGGGGUAAAGGCUUACCAAGGCAAUGAUGCGUAGCCGAACUGAGAGGUUGAUCGGCCACAUUGGGACUGAGACACGGCCCAAACUCCUACGGGAGGCAGCAGUAGGGAAUCUUCCACAAUGGGCGAAAGCCUGAUGGAGCAACGCCGCGUGGGUGAAGAAGGUCUUCGGAUCGUAAAACCCUGUUGUUAGAGAAGAAAGUGCGUGAGAGUAACUGUUCACGUUUCGACGGUAUCUAACCAGAAAGCCACGGCUAACUACGUGCCAGCAGCCGCGGUAAUACGUAGGUGGCAAGCGUUAUCCGGAUUUAUUGGGCGUAAAGGGAACGCAGGCGGUCUUUUAAGUCUGAUGUGAAAGCCUUCGGCUUAACCGGAGUAGUGCAUUGGAAACUGGGAGACUUGAGUGCAGAAGAGGAGAGUGGAACUCCAUGUGUAGCGGUGAAAUGCGUAGAUAUAUGGAAGAACACCAGUGGCGAAAGCGGCUCUCUGGUCUGUAACUGACGCUGAGGUUCGAAAGCGUGGGUAGCAAACAGGAUUAGAUACCCUGGUAGUC
This 769-nucleotide ribosomal RNA is filed under the name uncultured bacterium. RNAcentral's name for it is "bacterial SSU rRNA". It matches the Rfam family "Bacterial small subunit ribosomal RNA", at positions 59 to 795 of the family's 1533-position model. The record is from RNAcentral.